AUUCCAGGAAGCGUUUGCACAUCCUGGCCCCAGAGGAUUUUGCAUAGCCUCACCGAGAGAAGAAGUUGGAAAGAAAAAAAAAAAGAGAGAAGAAGUUGGCAAGGCAUCCAGAGGAGAUCACCACCCCCCCGCCCAGCACCUGGGUUCUCUGCCAGGGGAGAAAGGUCCUAGAAACAAGGACCAAUCCAGCAGCGACAAGCAUCCCUGGCACUCUGUCAUUUCCCUUCAACUGAAAUCAGAUCUUCUUGAAGAAAUGCUUGGCUCUCAGACUGGGAACGGAAAU
RNAcentral lists this long non-coding RNA (283 nucleotides) under Pongo abelii (Sumatran orangutan). RNAcentral describes it as "lincRNA". Lineage: Eukaryota; Metazoa; Chordata; Mammalia; Primates; Hominidae. The record is from RNAcentral.